This 253-nucleotide ribosomal RNA is filed under the name uncultured bacterium. RNAcentral describes it as "partial 16S ribosomal RNA". It matches the Rfam family "Bacterial small subunit ribosomal RNA", at positions 524 to 776 of the family's 1533-position model. The record is from RNAcentral.
UACGUAGGGUGCGAGCGUUGUCCGGAAUUAUUGGGCGUAAAGAGCUCGUAGGCGGUUUGUUGCGUCUAUCGUGAAAACCUGCAGCUUAACUGUGGGCUUGCGGUGGAUACGGGCAGACUUGAGUUCGGUAGGGGAGACUGGAAUUCCUGGUGUAGCGGUGAAAUGCGCAGAUAUCAGGAGGAACACCGGUGGCGAAGGCGGGUCUCUGGGCCGAUACUGACGCUGAGGAGCGAAAGCAUGGGGAGCGAACAGG